Molecule: ribosomal RNA, 400 nt
Filed under: phytoplankton environmental sample
Lineage: Eukaryota
Description: partial small subunit ribosomal RNA
Rfam family: Eukaryotic small subunit ribosomal RNA
Source: RNAcentral
AGCUCUGUAAGCGUAUACCAAAGUUGUUGCAGUUAAAACGCUCGUAGUCGGAUUUUGGUAGUUCCGGGAGUGUGCGCCUCGGGCGCGUGCUUCGCAGGGGCUGCUUUUGUGGGUAUGCAAAGGAUGACGCGACUUUAUUGUUGAACGUCCUGCGCAACCACCGUUUACUGUGAAAAAAUUAAAGUGUUCAAAGCAGGCAUUUGUCGUGAAUACAUUAGCAUGGAAUAAUUGAAUAGGACUUGGUCUUAUUUUGUUGGUUUGUUAUGGCCGAGUAAUGAUUAAAAGGGACAGUUGGGGGCAUUUGUAUUCCGGCGCUAGAGGUGAAAUUCUUGGAUUGCCGGAAGACAAACCGCUGCGAAAGCGUCUGCCAAGGAUGUUUUCAUUGAUCAAGAACGAAAGU